This 219-nucleotide unclassified non-coding RNA is filed under the name uncultured Actinomycetes bacterium. RNAcentral describes it as "uncultured actinobacterium contains 16S-23S intergenic spacer region". Lineage: Bacteria; Bacillati; Actinomycetota; Actinomycetes. The record is from RNAcentral.
UCCGAGUUAACCCCGGCAGUCUCCCGUGAGUCCCCAACUGAAUGCUGGCAACACGGGAUAAGGGUUGCGCUCGUUGCGGGACUUAACCCAACAUCUCACGACACGAGCUGACGACAGCCAUGCACCACCUGUCACCCAGUCCGAAGAGGCCUCUAUCUCUAGAGGUUUCCGGGUGAUGUCAAACCUAGGUAAGGUGGGGAUGACGUACCAAGGUUGGUU